GCAGUCGAGCGGAGAUGAGGUGCUUGCACCUUAUCUUAGCGGCGGACGGGUGAGUAAUGCUUAGGAAUCUGCCUAUUAGUGGGGGACAACAUUCCGAAAGGAAUGCUAAUACCGCAUACGCCCUACGGGGGAAAGCAGGGGAUCUUCGGACCUUGCGCUAAUAGAUGAGCCUAAGUCGGAUUAGCUAGUUGGUGGGGUAAAGGCCUACCAAGGCGACGAUCUGUAGCGGGUCUGAGAGGAUGAUCCGCCACACUGGGACUGAGACACGGCCCAGACUCCUACGGGAGGCAGCAGUGGGGAAUAUUGGACAAUGGGCGGAAGCCUGAUCCAGCCAUGCCGCGUGUGUGAAGAAGGCCUUUUGGUUGUAAAGCACUUUAAGCGAGGAGGAGGCUACUUAGAUUAAUACUCUAGGAUAGUGGACGUUACUCGCAGAAUAAGCACCGGCUAACUCUGUGCCAGCAGCCGCGGUAAUACAGAGGGUGCGAGCGUUAAUCGGAUUUACUGGGCGUAAAGCGUGCGUAGGCGGCUGAUUAAGUCGGAUGUGAAAUCCCUGAGCUUAACUUAGGAAUUGCAUUCGAUACUGGUCAGCUAGAGUAUGGGAGAGGAUGGUAGAAUUCCAGGUGUAGCGGUGAAAUGCGUAGAGAUCUGGAGGAAUACCGAUGGCGAAGCAGCCAUCUGGCCUAAUACUGACGCUGAGGUACGAAAGCAUGGGGAGCAAACAGGAUUAGAUACCCUGGUAGUCCAUGCCGUAAACGAUGUCUACUAGCCGUUGGGGCCUUUGAGCUUUAGUGCGCAGCUAA
RNAcentral lists this ribosomal RNA (800 nucleotides) under Acinetobacter sp. Its description in RNAcentral is "bacterial SSU rRNA". It matches the Rfam family "Bacterial small subunit ribosomal RNA", at positions 57 to 855 of the family's 1533-position model. Lineage: Bacteria; Pseudomonadati; Pseudomonadota; Gammaproteobacteria; Moraxellales; Moraxellaceae. The record is from RNAcentral.